UACGUAUGGUGCAAGCGUUAUCCGGAUUUACUGGGUGUAAAGGGAGCGUAGGCGGCGCGUUAAGUCUGAUGUGAAAACCCGAGGCUCAACCACGGGAGUGCAUUGGAAACUGGCGGGCUGGAGUGCCGGAGAGGUAAGCGGAAUUCCUAGUGUAGCGGUGAAAUGCGUAGAUAUUAGGAGGAACGCCAGUGGCGAAGGCGGCUUACUGGACGGCAACUGACGCUGAGGCUCGAAAGCGUGGGGAGCAAACAGG
This 253-nucleotide ribosomal RNA is filed under the name uncultured bacterium. RNAcentral's name for it is "partial 16S ribosomal RNA". It matches the Rfam family "Bacterial small subunit ribosomal RNA", at positions 524 to 776 of the family's 1533-position model. The record is from RNAcentral.